Molecule: long non-coding RNA, 295 nt
Filed under: Physcomitrium patens
Lineage: Eukaryota; Viridiplantae; Streptophyta; Bryopsida; Funariales; Funariaceae
Description: long non-coding RNA (PPAT_LNC007696)
Source: RNAcentral
UUUGGCAUUUGGCAUCGACGCCAUGGUCAUUUGAAUGCUAAGAGAAUGAAGGAGCUCCAAUCCAUAGUAAGUGGCUUAGAUCUCGGUCAUAUAAGCCAUAAUGCUAUGAUACUUGCUUGUGAAGGUUGUAUUCAAGGCAAACAACAUAGGGCGUCAUUUCCAAAUGGAGUUGCAACAUGUUGUCGUACUGUAAAUGCUUACAAUAUAUAAAAAUUAAUUAAAACAUAUUAUAUGUUGAUAAAUCUAGAUAUGUAUUAGAUUGGCUAAUAGAUUAAAUUAAAAGGAUUUGGUAUAA